This 468-nucleotide ribosomal RNA is filed under the name uncultured bacterium. RNAcentral's name for it is "partial 16S ribosomal RNA". It matches the Rfam family "Bacterial small subunit ribosomal RNA", at positions 28 to 507 of the family's 1533-position model. The record is from RNAcentral.
GACGAACGCUGGCGGCGUGCUUAACACAUGCAAGUCGAACGGAAAGACCCUGCUUUUGUGGGGUGCUCGAGUGGCGAACGGGUGAGUAACACGUGAGUAACCUGCCCUUGACUUUGGGAUAACUUCAGGAAACUGGGGCUAAUACCGGAUAGGAGCUCCUGCUGCAUGGUGGGGGUUGGAAAGUUUCGGCGGUUGGGGAUGGACUCGCGGCUUAUCAGCUUGUUGGUGGGGUAGUGGCUUACCAAGGCUUUGACGGGUAGCCGGCCUGAGAGGGUGACCGGCCACAUUGGGACUGAGGUACGGCCCAGACUCCUACGGGAGGCAGCAGUGGGGAAUAUUGCACAAUGGGCGGAAGCCUGAUGCAGCAACGCCGCGUGCGGGAUGACGGCCUUCGGGUUGUAGACCGCUUUCGCCUGUGACGAAGCGUGAGUGACGGUAAUGGGUAAAGAAGCACCGGCUAACUACGUG